AUUGAACGCCUGGCGGUAUGCUUAACACAUGCAAGUCGAACGGAAACGAUACUAGCUUGCUAGUAGGCGUCGAGUGGCGGACGGGUGAGUAACGCGUAGGAAUCUGCCUGAUAGUGGGGGAAUAGCCCGGAGAAAUUCGGAUUAAUACCGCAUAAUCUAUUCGUAGUAAAGUGGGGGACUUUCGAGCCUCACGCUAUCAGAUGAGCCUGCGUAAGAUUAGCUUGUUGGUAGGGUAAAAGCCUACCAAGGCGACGAUCUUUAGCUGGUCUGAGAGGAUGAUCAGCCACAUCGGGACUGAGACACGGCCCGAACUCCUACGGGAGGCAGCAGUGGGGAAUAUUGGACAAUGGGGGCAACCCUGAUCCAGCAAUACCGCGUGUGUGAAGAAGGCCUGAGGGUUGUAAAGCACUUUCAAUUGUGAAGAAAAGUUAACGGUUAAUAACCGUUAGCCUUGACGUUAACUUUAGAAGAAGCACCGGCUAACUCCGUGCCAGCAGCCGCGGUAAUACGGAGGGUGCAAGCGUUAAUCGGAAUUACUGGGCGUAAAGCGUGCGUAGGCGGUUUAUUAAGUCAGAUGUGAAAGCCCCGGGCUUAACCUGGGAACUGCAUUUGAAACUGGUAAACUAGAGUAUGGUAGAGGAAAGUGGAAUUUCUGGUGUAGCGGUGAAAUGCGUAGAUAUCAGAAGGAACAUCAAUGGCGAAGGCAGCUUUCUGGACCAAUACUGACGCUGAGGUACGAAAGCGUGGGUAGCAAACAGGAUUAGAUACCCUGGUAGUCCACGCCGUAAACGAUGAUAACUAGCCGUUGGGGGGAUUUACCCUUUAGUGGCGAAGCUAACGCGUUAAGUUAUCCGCCUGGGGAGUACGGCCGCAAGGUUAAAACUCAAAGGAAUUGACGGGGACCCGCACAAGCGGUGGAGCAUGUGGUUUAAUUCGAUGCAACGCGAAGAACCUUACCUGGUCUUGACAUCCUGCGAACUUUCUAGAAAUAGAUUGGUGCCUUCGGGAACGCAGUGACAGGUGCUGCAUGGCUGUCGUCAGCUCGUGUCGUGAGAUGUUGGGUUAAGUCCCGUAACGAGCGCAACCCCUAUCCUUAUUUGCCAGCACAUUAUGGUGGGAACUAUAAGGAGACUGCCGGUGAUAAACCGGAGGAAGGCGGGGACGACGUCAAGUCAUCAUGGCCCUUACGACCAAGGCUACACACGUGCUACAAUGGGAAGGACAAAGAGCCGCGAAGCCGCGAGGUGUAGCUAAUCUCAUAAACUCUUUUCGUAGUCCGGAUUGGAGUCUGCAACUCGACUCCAUGAAGUCGGAAUCGCUAGUAAUCGUAGAAUCAGAAUGCUACGGUGAAUACGUUCCCGGGUCU
This 1366-nucleotide ribosomal RNA is filed under the name uncultured bacterium. Its description in RNAcentral is "bacterial SSU rRNA". It matches the Rfam family "Bacterial small subunit ribosomal RNA", at positions 28 to 1381 of the family's 1533-position model. The record is from RNAcentral.